GGAUUGGUUACAAGACGAUGUACAUGACAUGGAUGUUGACACUGCAACAUUCACAACUCAAACCUCUCUGGAAAACACUCAUUACCAGAGUUGGAGAUUUACUACUAUUUGCUCAUCCUAAUAUUUCUGAUUGAUCAGAAGAGAAACAAUGAGGCAAAAGUUUGUGCCUCAGCAAGCAUCGCUCGACUGAAGAACCUGAAUAGGAGAAUUGUUGAUGUCCCAGUAUCCAGGCUCUACUUCUAUUAUCUCUUUGCUAUGAGCUCAUUGGUGAUCUUGCUGAAAUUAGAGGUAUCUCAUAAAGUGUAGAAAGGUGUGCUUUUGCCAAGUAUUGAAGAAAAAUUAUUGGUGGGAAGAGAUGAAGAAGGAUAUUGCCUUGUAUAUUGAGAGAUGUCACACAUGCCGUUAAGUCAAGGCAGAAUAUCAAAGACCCGCUGACUUUGAUGCAGAUGUGGAGGAAGAGGAGGAGGCAGAGCCCGAGAAGGCGACUCCUCUAGAGUUUUGUCUUGAAGUCUUUGAUGUUUAAAAAUUAUCUCUAUCAGUAUUUAUGGCUUGUAAUGUGGUUUGAAAUAAUAUUUGUGACUUGUAAUAUUUUAUUAUGUAUGCUUUAAUCGGGUUUGUAUUUAAACAAAAAAAUCUGGUACUCAGUUAUAAGACUUU
Long non-coding RNA from Carya illinoinensis, 657 nucleotides. RefSeq lists it as uncharacterized. Lineage: Eukaryota; Viridiplantae; Streptophyta; Magnoliopsida; Fagales; Juglandaceae. The record is from RefSeq and is a predicted model, not a curated record. The transcript has 4 exons.